This 180-nucleotide ribosomal RNA is filed under the name uncultured Glomeromycotina. RNAcentral's name for it is "partial small subunit ribosomal RNA". The record is from RNAcentral. Lineage: Eukaryota; Fungi; Glomeromycota.
GGGUUUACCCAUUGGUCAGGCUUAAUUGUCUGUACUGGUGAGAUAAAUCUCUACCUUCUGAGGAACUUUCAUGUCAUUAAUUUGGUGUGAUUGGAAAUCAGGACUGUUACUUUGAAAAAAUUGGAGUGUUUAAAGCAGGCUUUCAAGCUUGAACAUAUUAGCAUGGAAUAAUGAAAUAGG